UUCGUAGUGACCUGCGGAGGAUCAUUAUUG
This 30-nucleotide ribosomal RNA is filed under the name Rhizoctonia sp. AG-G. RNAcentral's name for it is "partial 18S ribosomal RNA". Lineage: Eukaryota; Fungi; Basidiomycota; Agaricomycetes; Cantharellales; Ceratobasidiaceae. The record is from RNAcentral.